Molecule: RNA transcript, 1612 nt
Organism: Drosophila elegans
Lineage: Eukaryota; Metazoa; Arthropoda; Insecta; Diptera; Drosophilidae
Gene name: bestrophin-2-like
Exons: 6
Source: RefSeq, a predicted model, not a curated record
CGCAAUUGAAAUCAGUCAAUAAGAAUCUUCAAUCAUGACUGUAACAUAUACCUCUCGCGUUAGCACCUCGAGUGUGGUAAGCAAUUUUUUGGGCUUGCUGGUCAGAUGGCGCGGCAGUAUUUACAAAUUGAUAUGGUUAGACUUAAUUGUGUUCUUUGGAUUGUACUGCAUACUGGCGAUUAUAUAUCGCCUGCUGAUUAACGAAGAGGGCAAACGGUUUUUUGAGGCUGUUAUUUAUUAUUGCGAAGUUAAUGGUUCGCUCAUUCCAUUGUCCUUUGUGCUUGGAUUUUUUGUAAGAAUUGUGAUGAAGCGCUGGUGGGAGCAAUACACCACCAUUCCUUGGCCAGAUGGGAUUGCCAUUCUGAUCAGCACCAGCAUCCACGGCUCCGAUGACAGAGCCAGGGUCAUGAGGCGAACCAUCCUGAGAUAUGUGUGCCUGUGUCAGGUGAUUGUUUUCACCAUGAUUGCACCCCGUGUGAAGCGUCGAUUUCCCACCUACAACCAACUCAUAGAAGCUGGGUUCUUGCUGGAGAACGAAAAGAAGAUUAUUGAGGCCUUGGAUCAAGCUUUUCCCUCCUAUCCGAAGCACUGGAUGCCCAUCGUCUGGGCUGCUAGUAUUGUGAUGAGGGCCAGGAGGGAGAACAAAAUCCGAGACGAUUACGCGGUUAAGACGAUCAUUGACGAGUUGAACCAAUUUCGUGGAUAUUGUGGCUUUUUGCUAUACUACGACUGGGUCAGUGUUCCUCUGGUUUACACCCAAGUGGUUACCGUGGCCACCUACUCAUUCUUCUUGUUCAGUCUCCUUGGACAACAGUGGAGCCCAGAAGAGGGCGCUGAGGAUGGAUUUAGUAUUAAGAGAUGGUUUCCCAUCCUGACCGUUCUUCAGUUUUUCUUUUACAUGGGCUGGCUCAAGGUAGCCGAAACUUUAAUAAAUCCUUUCGGAGAGGACGAUGACGACUUUGAGCUAAACUGGAUAAUAGAUCGGAAUCUCAGUGUUGCUUAUUGUAUUGUGGACGAAAUGCACCAGGAGCAUCCGGAGCUUGUUAAGGAUCAGUACUGGGAAGAAGUUUUCCCCAAUGAAAUGCCAUACGCUGUACCAAAAAUGCGCCAAAAUCCCCCAGAAGCUUCUACUGCCUAUAUGGAAACCCAAUCCCAGAAGAGACAACGGAAUGGAUCGGGAGCAUCGGAAUGAAGUACCUUUUCGCGGACUAAUUUUACACGGAACUUCCUGGGAAGACCAUCUGCCACGGGGAGCUACUCGGACUCUUUUCAAAUGGAAGAGGGCCCAUCUCGAGUGACCUUCAGUGACAAUCUGUUGGCAUCAGAAAUGGAUGACCUGUUGAGUUCCCGAAAACCGUCGCAAUCCACUGUUGAUUUUAACGAGCUUAUUGAGCAGCGUCGUCGUGAGCGCAGGGAUCGAAUGCGCCACCGAUAUAUGGAUAUGCGAAGCACCCAUCUCCGCCACGACCUUUCCGGUGAUCCCUACACAAUCACGGUCCUUCGUCCUCCGUCCGAUGAAACCCUCUCGGAAUAUCUGGAAGCCGGUGAGGGAUCCCAGCAGGAUCCAUCGGCCAAAUCACCUCCUCCAAAUAAGACAGAGAAGCACGAUUAG